CCUACGGGAGGCUGCAGUGGGGAAUUUUGCGCAAUGCUCGUAAGAGUGACGCAGCGACGCCGCGUGAAUGACGAAGGCCUUCGGGUCGUAAAGUUCUUUCGACAGGGAAGAAAAUGCCGAUAAGUAACUGUGUAUGUAUUGACGGUACCUGUAUAAGCAGCCCCGGCUAACUCCGUGCCAGCAGCCGCGGUAAUACGGAGGGGGCGAGCGUUGUUCGGAGUGACUGGGCGUAAAGAGCACGUAGGCGGUGUUGUAAGUCAUUAGUCAAAGACUAGAGCUCAACUUUAGUAAGGCUAGUGAUACUAUAAUACGAGAGUAUCAGAGAGGAUUGCAGAAUUCCUGGUGUAGCGGUGAAAUGCGUAGAUAUCAGGAGGAAUACCGUUAGCGAAGGCGGCAAUCUGGCUGGAAACUGACGCUGAGGUGCGAAAGCGUGGGUAGCAAACAGGAUUAGAUACCCUGGUAGUC
Molecule: ribosomal RNA, 465 nt
Filed under: uncultured bacterium
Lineage: Bacteria
Description: partial 16S ribosomal RNA
Rfam family: Bacterial small subunit ribosomal RNA
Source: RNAcentral